RNAcentral lists this unclassified non-coding RNA (862 nucleotides) under Hevea brasiliensis (rubber tree). The record is from RNAcentral. Lineage: Eukaryota; Viridiplantae; Streptophyta; Magnoliopsida; Malpighiales; Euphorbiaceae.
GCUGUCCCCUUUUUCCCCCUUUUGGCAGAGUCUCAGAGCAACAACAGCUCCCCAUUCCUUGUUACUGUUGCCUCGAAAAGGAACUAAUAGAUUGAAAAAUCCAACGGAUUUUACCUCUAAAUCAAUGUGGUUUUUGAGUUUGGUUAUGAGGCAAUAGUAGUUUUACACUUGAAAAUUUUCAAACGAUUCUCUAAUCCUUGGUUCCGAGGAAAUCUCUAUUCGUAGCUAGUUUUGAACUUCUUGAUCUGCUGUUCGUGUUCGAAUUGCGUGGUAAAAGAAUUGCCGCUCACAAGGUCCAAAGGCAACCUAAGAUUUCUCUGCAACUAGUCGUCUAUGGCGGACUUGAGCAUUGCUUUUUUCUCUUUCCUCCUCCUUUUCUUCUCUCUAUCCCUCCUAGUUUUUCUCGCCUUCAUCGUCCGACCACGCCCCGUCAAAGUUCCAAUUAAAAAUCGCCAUGUCUUCAUCACUGGCGGCUCAAGCGGUAUUGGGUUAGCUCUAGCUCAACAGGCUGCUUCAGAAGGUGCAAAAGUUUCAAUACUUGCUCGUAACACUGGUAGACUCAAAGAGGCGAAGGAGUCAAUUCGGCUUUCUACUGGCCGUGAUGUGGCCAUUUUCAGCGCUGAUGUGAGAGAUUACAAGGCUGUCAAGAAGGCUGUAGAAGAGGCAGGACCAAUCGAUGUGUUGGUGUGCAAUCAGGGAGUUUUUGUACCUCAGGAAUUGGAGACCCAAGAUAUUGAGGAAAUCAAGUUCAUGAUUGAUGUCAACUUGACUGGGACUUUUCAUUUGAUUAAAGCUGCUUUGCCUGGAAUGAGGAACAGGUCUAACCGUGGACCUGGGUCCAUUGCUAUCAUGUCUUCACAAG